This is a long non-coding RNA of Micropterus dolomieu (smallmouth bass), 632 nucleotides long. RefSeq lists it as uncharacterized. The record is from RefSeq and is a predicted model, not a curated record. Lineage: Eukaryota; Metazoa; Chordata; Actinopteri; Centrarchiformes; Centrarchidae. The transcript is spliced from 2 exons.
GGCUGCCGGCUGCUGGCUGCCGGCUGCUGGCUGCUGGCUGCUGGCUGCCGGCUGCUGGCUUGAACGAGCCUCACUCAGCUUGUGAUGAAUUUGAACCAACCAGCAGAUGUAGCUGAUAGAAGUCGCCUUAUUUAGCCCCGUUUUCAGGUUCCGAGACUGAAGAACCUCCGUUUGUAGCGAUGAAGUCAUGAACACUGACCUGAACCUCGGGAUUCUGGUUGUCACCCUCCAUUCCGCUCUUGUAGUGGUCCUGGUCUCAGAUCCAGCAGGUCUCCUCUCGGACUGUCUGCGCUGUCAAAGCACAGGAGCGCUGCGGGAUCCCGUGGAGCGCCGUGUUCUCGCGAUGUUUGGUUACUGUUGCUAAGACUGCAUCCUACAAAUCAGUAAUCUGCACUUCCCAAAGACCUCGUACAGCUCCGUCUGUAAAGUAGGUUCAAAAUGAAGAGUUCACUAUCAUUGUGGGCACCGAUCAGAACGCGUGGAACAAGCCAGGAGACUUCAGUCCUCUGAACAAAGUUUAUCUUCUCUAAAAGGUUGCAUUUAUGAACAUAUAGGGGGAUGAAAAAAACACACGUGGGCUGUUGAAUCUGAAAGAAAAACAAAGAUUAGAAAUAAACAUCAACUUAGUCUCA